This 200-nucleotide ribosomal RNA is filed under the name Escherichia coli. RNAcentral's name for it is "partial 16S ribosomal RNA". It matches the Rfam family "Bacterial small subunit ribosomal RNA", at positions 1 to 208 of the family's 1533-position model. RNAcentral also lists the same sequence under 1 other name. The record is from RNAcentral. Lineage: Bacteria; Pseudomonadati; Pseudomonadota; Gammaproteobacteria; Enterobacterales; Enterobacteriaceae.
AAAUUGAAGAGUUUGAUCAUGGCUCAGAUUGAACGCUGGCGGCAGGCCUAACACAUGCAAGUCGAACGGUAACAGAAAGCAGCUUGCUGCUUUGCUGACGAGUGGCGGACGGGUGAGUAAUGUCUGGGAAACUGCCUGAUGGAGGGGGAUAACUACUGGAAACGGUAGCUAAUACCGCAUAACGUCGCAAGACCAAAGAG